GCACUGUCGAAGAGUCCCACAAUAGGACGAAACGACCUUCCAGUGC
This is a non-coding RNA of Schistosoma margrebowiei, 46 nucleotides long. NCBI's taxonomy places the organism in Eukaryota, Metazoa, Platyhelminthes, Trematoda, Strigeidida, Schistosomatidae. The record is from Rfam.